CGGGGUGUAACUCAAUUGUAUAGAGUAGCGGUCCUCUAAACCGCAGGUUAAAGGUUAGAAUCCUUUCACCCUGGCCA
This 77-nucleotide transfer RNA is filed under the name Escherichia phage UFV-AREG1. RNAcentral describes it as "tRNA-Arg". It matches the Rfam family "tRNA". From Rfam's summary of the family: Transfer RNA (tRNA) molecules are approximately 80 nucleotides in length. The record is from RNAcentral. Lineage: Duplodnaviria; Heunggongvirae; Uroviricota; Caudoviricetes; Pantevenvirales; Straboviridae.